Molecule: ribosomal RNA, 298 nt
Filed under: uncultured bacterium
Lineage: Bacteria
Description: partial 16S ribosomal RNA
Rfam family: Bacterial small subunit ribosomal RNA
Source: RNAcentral
GAUGAACGCUAGCGGCAGGCCUAAUACAUGCAAGUCGAGGGGCAGCGGGAGUAGCAAUACUUGCCGGCGACCGGCGCACGGGUGCGUAACACGUAUACAAUCUGCCUAUAACAGGGGGAUAGCCCGGAGAAAUCCGGAUUAAUACCCCAUAACAGUUGAAGAAGCAUUUCUUUGACUUGAAAACUACGGUGGUUAUAGAUGAGUAUGCGUAUGAUUAGCUAGUUGGUAGGUAACGGACUACCAAGGCCACGAUCAUUAGGGGUACUGAGAGGUUAAAACCCCCACACGGAUACUAGAG